CCUUUUCUUCCAUCUCUUCUAUCCCCAAGGCUCUGUGACUGUCAAUUUGGGAAUGGGGGAGGGGGCAGUUUAGGACUGGGGUGGAUUUUCAGAAGAACAUCUAUAAUAUCCUAUUUAUAUAAGUCUUCCUCUGGGGAAAAGGAGUGGUUUCUGGCUCAAUCCUAUCUCAGACUCAAGGAGAAACAAAAUAAAGAUUCCAGGCGGCCUGGGCUAUAGCCUGUCUUUUAAGAAAUGGGGCUGGUAGAAGCUGUUUAUCACUUGGAGAGCAUACAAACUCUGGCCCUCUCUUCCGUGGGUCUUUGGCUCCUGGGGAGAUGAUUUCUGCCUUCUAAGAAGGCAGGCCACGUCUCAGGCACAGACCAGAUUUGUUGACCUUGCACUCCAACUACAGUGCCUUACAAGUGCUCAACAGUACACAUUGGAAUGAAGUCCCCAUGAGAGCCAUUACUGACCAUGUCCUAUACCUCAAAGUGAGGCUGGCAGGUGCAGAGAUGGACUGCACACAACUGGUACCUUUAAGUCAUCAGGAAGACCCCUGUGCUUGAAAAUCUUUCCUCUACAUCAUACCUGAAGUCCCAUCAUAACCCUCCAUUUCCUUGGCUUUAGCAUUUCCAUUCUCCUAUAAAUACCUUUUCCUGGGAGGAGUAGCACACUAGUUUUCUCUUGAUGUGAACGAGAUGCCAGGCCCUUUUCUCCUGUGCAUGCCAGGAUGGACAAAGCAGAGGACACUGGAGGCCAGCAUCUUCCUCUCUGAUGGGCUCACAGCUGGCCCUACUCUCUCGCUGUCCACUGCUUUGUUCCUUACCUUGCUGAUGUGGCUUGACCUCCUCUGUUCGCUCUACUGCCAGUGUUCUCCCAGGGUUGCCAGUGCCCUUCUUGUGCUAAAUCUGGCAGGCCCUUUCAUAUCUCCUCUUCCUGGGUCUCGGCAGCACCUGACAGGGCUGAUCACUUCCUGCUUCUUGAGUCACAUUUCCCUGGAACUUCUGUGGCUUAUUUUCCUAUCCUUCUGGCUGCUCCGUUCAAUUUCCUAUGCAGACCUCUCCACUCACCCACGCACAAUGGGGUCUCUCAGGGUUCUGUUGUGGGCUCCAUGGGGAAGCCCAACAAUGUUGAUGGCUUAAAGGACUCUAUCGAGGAAUCGAGAGUUGACCACCAGCCCCAAUGUCCCUCUUGAUCUGAACCACAGUUCUGCUGCUUUCUGGGUGCACAGACAACUGAAGUUCAUGGCUCAGAUGGCACUUGUUGCUGUCCUCUGCAAACCUGACCCUUUUGGGUACCUGCCUUGGCCCCAAGCUCACUCAGGAGCCAAGCAGGAAACCUGCUUUCUAUUCCUGCUUUCUCUUUCUGCCCCCAACAUCCAGCCUCUAAAAACUGUCAAGUCUAUCUUCUUAACAACUCUUGUCUUGAGCCACUCCCACUGGCAUCACCUUUCACCAGGAUUAUUGUGACAGCUUCCUGCUGCUUCUCUAUCCCAUGGCUGGAGUUGUCUUUCUCAAAUGCACAGUUGAUCAAGUCACUCCUGGCCUAAAACCUUCCAUGGCUCCCCACUGCCCUUAGGGUAAAGUCCAUACCCCUUAGCCUGGCUCAUGAGACUCGUGGUGUCCUGGUUUCACCUCUCUGACCUCAUCACUUGCCUCUUGCACUCUGGGUCCCAGCCUUCUGUUUCCAGAGAUGCCAUGGCUCUCUCUUGCCACUUUGAUUCCUCUUUCUUCUGCUCACCUCAGUACUUUCUCUGUCAAGUCUCCAGCUUAGAUUUCACUUCCUCCUGGGAGCUUUGGAUGUCCCCUGUCCUCCCACAACUCCACCCCAUCACACCACACAUUUCACUCUAGUCUUACUCGCCUGCUUUAUGGUCUGUUUCCCCAUUAGACUGUAAGCUCCUUGAGGGCAAGGACUGUCCUUGAAUUUUUGUAUCAACAGUGUCUGGCUUGCUGCCUGGCACCUAGAAAGCACUCAAUAAAUGUUUGUUAAAUGAAA
Molecule: long non-coding RNA, 1977 nt
Organism: Galeopterus variegatus (Sunda flying lemur)
Lineage: Eukaryota; Metazoa; Chordata; Mammalia; Dermoptera; Cynocephalidae
Exons: 2
Source: RefSeq, a predicted model, not a curated record